Molecule: ribosomal RNA, 735 nt
Filed under: uncultured Fusobacterium sp.
Lineage: Bacteria; Fusobacteriati; Fusobacteriota; Fusobacteriia; Fusobacteriales; Fusobacteriaceae
Description: bacterial SSU rRNA
Rfam family: Bacterial small subunit ribosomal RNA
Source: RNAcentral
GAUGAACGCUGACAGAAUGCUUAACACAUGCAAGUCAACUUGAAUUUGGGUUUUUAACUUAGGUUUGGGUGGCGGACGGGUGAGUAACGCGUAAAGAACUUGCCUCACAGCUAGGGACAACAUUUAGAAAUGAAUGCUAAUACCUAAUAUUAUGAUAAUAGGGCAUCCUAUAAUUAUGAAAGCUAUAUGCGCUGUGAGAGAGCUUUGCGUCCCAUUAGCUAGUUGGAGAGGUAACGGCUCACCAAGGCGAUGAUGGGUAGCCGGCCUGAGAGGGUGAUCGGCCGCAAGGGGACUGAGACACGGCCCUUACUCCUACGGGAGGCAGCAGUGGGGAAUAUUGGACAAUGGACCGAGAGUCUGAUCCAGCAAUUCUGUGUGCACGAUGAAGUUUUUCGGAAUGUAAAGUGCUUUCAGUUGGGAAGAAAGAAAUGACGGUACCAACAGAAGAAGUGACGGCUAAAUACGUGCCAGCAGCCGCGGUAAUACGUAUGUCACGAGCGUUAUCCGGAUUUAUUGGGCGUAAAGCGCGUCUAGGUGGUUAUAUAAGUCUGAUGUGAAAAUGCAGGGCUCAACUCUGUAUUGCGUUGGAAACUGUAUAACUAGAGUACUGGAGAGGUAAGCGGAACUACAAGUGUAGAGGUGAAAUUCGUAGAUAUUUGUAGGAAUGCCGAUGGGGAAGCCAGCUUACUGGACAGAUACUGACGCUGAAGCGCGAAAGCGUGGGUAGCAAACAGG